CGCCUUAUACUCCUACGGGAGGCAGCAGUGGGGAAUUUUGGACAAUGGGGGCAACCCUGAUCCAGCAAUGCCGCGUGAGUGAAGAAGGCCUUCGGGUUGUAAAGCUCUUUUGUCAGGGAAGAAACGGUAGUAGCUAAUAUCUAUUACUAAUGACGGUACCUGAAGAAUAAGCACCGGCUAACUACGUGCCAGCAGCCGCGGUAAUACGUAGGGUGCAAGCGUUAAUCGGAAUUACUGGGCGUAAAGCGUGCGCAGGCGGUUGUGUAAGUCAGAUGUGAAAUCCCCGGGCUCAACCUGGGAAUUGCGUUUGAGACUGAACGGCUAGAGUGUGUCAGAGGGGGGUAGAAUUCCGCGUGUAGCAGUGAAAUGCGGAGAUAUUUGGAGGAAUACCGAUGGCGAAGGCAACCCCCUGGGAUAACACUGACGCUCAUGCACGAAAGCGUGGGGAGCAAACAUCAGUAGUAACCCCAGUAGUCCACGUACCA
Molecule: ribosomal RNA, 485 nt
Filed under: uncultured bacterium
Lineage: Bacteria
Description: bacterial SSU rRNA
Rfam family: Bacterial small subunit ribosomal RNA
Source: RNAcentral